UUUACGUAGUCCUGGCGUCAGGAUGACGCUGCGGCGUGCUACACAUGCAAGUCGACGGGGCGCGCAGGCUGAGGCUUUUCGGAGCGGAAGCCGGCGCUGCCAGUGGCGGACGGGUGAGUAACGCGUGGGCGAACCUGCCCUGCACUGGGGGACAACAGCCGGAAACGGCUGCUAAUACCGCAUAUGCCCGCAGCCCCGCAUGGGGCGGCGGGGGAAGCUCCGGCGGUGCAGGAUGGGCCCGCGUCUGAUUAGCUGGUUGGCGGGGCAACGGCCCACCAAGGCGACGAUCAGUAGCCGGCCUGAGAGGGUGGGCGGCCACAUUGGGGCUGAGACACGGCCCAGACUCCUACGGGAGGCAGCAGUGGGGGAUAUUGCACAAUGGGGGGAACCCUGAUGCAGCGACGCCGCGUGGGCGAUGGAGUGCUUCGGCAUGUAAAGCCCUAUCAGCAGGGAAGAAAAUGACGGUACCUGACUAAGAAGCCCCGGCUAAAUACGUG
RNAcentral lists this ribosomal RNA (497 nucleotides) under uncultured Eubacteriales bacterium. RNAcentral describes it as "bacterial SSU rRNA". It matches the Rfam family "Bacterial small subunit ribosomal RNA", at positions 1 to 507 of the family's 1533-position model. Lineage: Bacteria; Bacillati; Bacillota; Clostridia; Eubacteriales. The record is from RNAcentral.